UACGGAGGGAGCUAGCGUUGUUCGGAAUUACUGGGCGUAAAGCGCGCGUAGGCGGCUUUGUAAGUUAGAGGUGAAAGCCCGGAGCUCAACUCCGGAACUGCCUUUAAAACUGCAUCGCUUGAAUCCAGGAGAGGUGAGUGGAAUUCCGAGUGUAGAGGUGAAAUUCGUAGAUAUUCGGAGGAACACCGGUGGCGAAGGCGGCAUCCUGGACCGGCAUUGACGCUGAGGCGCGAAAGCCAGGGGAGCAAACGGG
Molecule: ribosomal RNA, 253 nt
Filed under: uncultured bacterium
Lineage: Bacteria
Description: partial 16S ribosomal RNA
Rfam family: Bacterial small subunit ribosomal RNA
Source: RNAcentral